This 1146-nucleotide ribosomal RNA is filed under the name Triticum aestivum (bread wheat). RNAcentral describes it as "partial small subunit ribosomal RNA". Lineage: Eukaryota; Viridiplantae; Streptophyta; Magnoliopsida; Poales; Poaceae. The record is from RNAcentral.
AUGGGAACCCGGUGUUGGUCCUCGCUCAUGCCCGAACUCAUCGACCGCAUCGGCGGCUGCCUACUGGACACCGCUGACCUUGAUUGUUACAUGGCCCUCCGCGCCGUCUGCCACAACUGGCGCGGUGCCACCGCCGACCCCAAGAAUACUCUACACACCCGCUUCCGCCCACACCAUUGGGUUAUGCUCGACUAUUCAUCCCACGGUGAGCACAUCCGCCUUCUAGUGAACACCGUCUCUGGCCGGUACCAUGGCAGGGAUAUGCCACUACUCUGCAAGUACUACAUCAUCUCCAUCACCAUCGACGGGCUCCUGGUCCUGAUGGCCAAGAUCCCGCCCCACGCCGUGUGUGUCCUCAACCCGUUCACGGGUCACAUGGUCCACUUUGUGGCGCGCAUGCGCCCCAACGUGCUCGCGGCAGCUGUCUCCGACUCAUCCCCACCCCGCCUUGUCCUCUACUGCCACGACACUAGGAAGCUAUACAUGGGCGGCCCUAACAGUGUGAGCUUCAUCAGGUACAUAACUAAUUAUGCUUGCCCUUUCGUCAGGAAGGUUGUCCAAGGUUGUGUCGCCGUCGACGGCCACCAAGGACUGAUGCCACCACUUCCUGCGAUGGUUGUCGCCAAGAUCGCCGAUCUAAUGACUCCACUCAUCGUCGGGUUUCCCGCUGACGAUCAGUUGGAUUCUCGGAAAAGUUGUUUCCUCGUGGAAUCUGCUGGAGAAAUUCUGGUCAUCUUCAAGCUUGGGAAUCAUGUGGAGGUCUUCAAGAUGGAUGGCAUGGGUGGAAACAUGCUGGUGCGCGUGAAGAACAUCGGCAGUCGUUCCAUAUUCAUCGGUCGCUCUCAAAGGUGCCUCUCCCUCGACGCCGAUAAGUUCCCGUCCAUCGAAGCCAAUUGCAUCUACUUCACGGAGUGUCUAAGUUCACCAUCGACGGACAUAUACCACCUCAAGGACGGAGAACAAGUUAAGAACGUCAUGAGCGCUGCCGGUGGAGCCGGUCCUUCAGUGAACCUAAACAUGCCCACCUUUUUGUGUCAUCCUAUGACUGAACAUCCCUGCACCAUCAUUCAGCUUCUCUCCCUCUACACUUUCAACUGGCAAUCUGGUCAAGCAUCACAGGUGUUAAAGUAUCAAGAUAGUUCUUGA